GACGAACGCUGGCGGCGUGCUUAACACAUGCAAGUCGAACGGAAAGGCCCUGCGUUUGUGGGGUGCUCGAGUGGCGAACGGGUGAGUAACACGUGAGUAACCUGCCCUUGACUUUGGGAUAACUUCAGGAAACUGGGGCUAAUACCGGAUAGGAGCUCCUGCUGCGUGGUGGGGGUUGGAAAGUUUCGGCGGGUGGGGAUGGACUCGCGGCUUAUCAGCUUGUUGGUGGGGUAGGGGCUUACCAAGGCUUUGACGGGUAGCCGGCCUGAGAGGGUGAACGGCCACAUUGGGACUGAGAUACGGCCCAGACUCCUACGGGAGGCAGCAGUGGGGAAUAUUGCACAAUGGGCGGAAGCCUGAUGCAGCAGCGCCGCGUGCGGGAUGACGGCCUUCGGGUUGUAAACCGCUUUCGCCUGUGACGAGGCGUGAGUGACGGUAAUGGGUAAAGAAGCACCGGCUAACUACGUG
RNAcentral lists this ribosomal RNA (468 nucleotides) under uncultured bacterium. RNAcentral's name for it is "partial 16S ribosomal RNA". It matches the Rfam family "Bacterial small subunit ribosomal RNA", at positions 28 to 507 of the family's 1533-position model. The record is from RNAcentral.